AUAUAUAAUAAUAUUUGUAGCACUAUAUCUAGUUUUAAAAAAUGAAAGCAAUCUCAAUGUCUUUAAGUAAAAAGGCUAAGUAAAUUCUGAUACAUCUACUCCAUGAAAUAGGAUGCAAGCAAAAAAAAAGUUAUAAAGAAUAAUUUAAAGCAAAAUGCAUGCUUAAGCUUUGUAAAGAUUAUGUCUGCAGUGUAAAGAAUGAAAACAUUGGAUAUGCACAAUUUUCUCUCUCCAGGUUCCCAUUUCUACUAAAGACAAAUCAUGAUAGGACAGAUUUGCUUUAUUAUACUUGGACUGAGUAUUUGUAUACAGUGCAGCAAGAAUAAUUUUUUUUACAUAGGCUUUUAAAUUGACUUUGAUGGAACUUCGUAGGGUGGAGUGCAGUGGCAUGAUCGUAGCUCAUUGCACCCUUAACCUCCUGGGUUCAAGUGAUCCUCCUGCCUCAGCCUCCAAGUGGGACUACAGGUGUGUGCCACCAUGCCCGGCUAAUUUUUUGCUUUUGUAGAGAUGCAGUCUCACUCUGUUGCCCAGGCUAGUUUCAAACUCCUAGCCUCAAGCAAUCCUCCCGCCUCAGCUUGCCAAAGUUGUUAGGAUUACAGGCAUGAGCCACUGUGCCUUGCCAGCACAGUAUUUCUUAAGGGGGUACUCCACUAUUGAAUCUGGUAUUUCCUUCCAAGUCAGCCAUACCCAUUCUGUAAAUUUGGUGACUGGCACUUUCCCACUGGACUAAGCUCAUAGUUAAAU
Molecule: long non-coding RNA, 744 nt
Filed under: Homo sapiens (human)
Lineage: Eukaryota; Metazoa; Chordata; Mammalia; Primates; Hominidae
Description: non-protein coding lnc-C9orf152-4:1
Source: RNAcentral